Sceloporus undulatus (fence lizard) is the source of this 350-nucleotide long non-coding RNA. RefSeq lists it as uncharacterized. The record is from RefSeq and is a predicted model, not a curated record. The transcript has 3 exons. Lineage: Eukaryota; Metazoa; Chordata; Lepidosauria; Squamata; Phrynosomatidae.
AGUCGUACUGAAGGACCUGGAGAUUCCUAGAGAGGUGUUCUCUCAGACGGUGAUGCCUUGCACCAGCAGCUUACAUAGGGAAGAACAAGCCACCUCUUGUCUCCUUCGGCUUUUGACAGCACUGUGCUAAACUUCACAAGCCACAGCUCUGAGGACAGAACCACAGAUAGAAGGAUAUUUAACUUUGCCAGCAUGAAAGCCCUUUGCUUAGGGAUGGUCAGAUAUUCCAAGUACCUGGCACCCUACUCUCCAGUUCUCCUGAUUUGACAGGUAUGAUCCCUAUUAAUCCACUGUCUUUAUUAUUUUUCAGCUGUUUUAAAAAUGUCCCCAUUUCCCUCACCUCCUCACAC